UCGAUGAUCAGUGAGACAGAGG
Molecule: microRNA, 22 nt
Filed under: Octopus vulgaris (common octopus)
Lineage: Eukaryota; Metazoa; Mollusca; Cephalopoda; Octopoda; Octopodidae
Also listed under: 1 other name
Description: Ovu-Mir-12576_3p (mature (co-guide))
Source: RNAcentral